CUGGCGAGUUGAACAGAAACUUGGUUAUUACGAGAUGAACUUGUAUGGGGCUAUAUAUGCAUGCGCAUGUGUUGAUAGAUACUGCAGACGUAGAUAUCUAGAUAUACCGGGGUUGGAGGGGAAGAAAGUUGGCCUGACAUUUACGGCGGCUGCAUCUGCGACAUGACUAUAUUGCUAUACAGUGGCUAUAGUCGUCGGUAAACUAGCAGGUCUGAUCUUUCAGUCAUGGAAACGGUUUACAUGUGCGGUCCGCAGCAGAAGGGGCUCCAUAAAUUGAAUGUUUUAGUGCUGUGCUACGUACUAGUGGAAUGAUUUACUGGCCGCCUUAUUGAAAAACGAAUAUACUCAACUACUCAAGUUAGUGACAACAAAGAUAAGAUUGACGGAUGCAAAAGUAAAGUGGCUUUAAUAUUGCUUUGGAUUGAUUUCAAUAUUUACUUUUGGUGUGCUAUACUUUUUCACAUAAUACAAAUGCAAAAUAAGAUUUUAUUAGUUUUAGUUUUGAAAAUUAUUGAAACGAACACUUUUCUUUUAAUGUAGAAAUUACCAUUCUGAAUUGAAACCCAUUGAACCCUUCGUCGGUUCCGCCCCCUUCGUCGGUUCGUCCUAGGGAAAUCUGGGUUCUGAAAUUACGGAGGGGAUUGCUAUAAAGUAUAAACUAUAUUUGUAAGUGUGAGUCUGAUCACCCAUGAAAGUGAACUUCCCAUUGACCAUAUAUGUUGCGGCCAAAGCCCUAGAGAGGGUGCAGUCGCCUCCAUGUCAAGUGCAGCGGGUGGUAGUAUCGGUUUGGGGGCAGUAGGGCAAACAUCGUUGUUAUAGAAGAUCACGGAGCAUGCCUUCAACAUACCAACCAAGUUCUGCACAUCAUAUUCAAAAACCUGUGUCAUUCAGUUCUCACUAGAAACUAGUUUUAGCAUUUAAAUUAUUUAUCUGAUAAAAAAAUAUCCAUUUAAAAUUCACGACUUUACAUAUAAUAUCGUAGACCAAUUUCCACAUUAUUUGAAACUUUUGAAUAGAAUAUAACAGCUAGCUAACGAUAAGUAUCGGUCCUCUUUUCAAAAAGAUUCAUUUUGAUAAAAGUAGUCCGCUUUCCCUUUGCAUUUUACAACUGUAUUCCAUCGAUCUUUACUAUACAAAUCUAUAAUCAAAUAACACUUUAGGAGUUUAGGGUAGAAGUUGAACCACGUUUUUCAUGCUUCUGGGGCAUAGAAUUUUAUAAGUGCUUCAAUAAUUAAAGUUAGGGUUCUUCACUUUAAUGCAUCAUGCAUCAACAGAAAUAAAAAGUUUGAGAGCAAUCUGUCCCGGGGGAGAGGAAACAAAAAAGAGCAAAAGUGUUGUAGAGAUGCACGAUGACUGAAAUAGCACUACGCAUUACGUGAAACACGAGCGCUUGAUUAACGAGUUAGAUUAGAUAACACACAUAUAUAUAUAGUUACCUGGGACAGAAACACGACCAAGUUGAACAGAAACUUGGUUAUUACGAGAUGAACUUGUAUGGGGCUAUAUAUGCAUGCACGAAUGUGUUGAUAGAUACUGCAGACGUAGAUAUCUAGAUAUACCGGGUUGGAGGGGAAGAAAGUUGGCCGGACAUUUACGGCGGCUGCAUCUGCGACACGACUAUAUUGCUAUACAGUGGCUAUAGUCGUCGGUAAACUAGCAGGUCUGAUCUUUCAGUCAUGGAAACGGUUUACAUGUUUGUAAGUUUGUUCAUUGAUUCGAUAUAAAUUGAAUGUUUUAGUGCUGUGCUACGUGCUAGUGGAAUGAUUAACUGGUCGUCUUAUUGAAAAACGAAUAUACUCA
This 1800-nucleotide long non-coding RNA is filed under the name Fragaria vesca (wild strawberry). RNAcentral's name for it is "long non-coding RNA (FVES_LNC001111)". Lineage: Eukaryota; Viridiplantae; Streptophyta; Magnoliopsida; Rosales; Rosaceae. The record is from RNAcentral.